GAUCAUGGCUCAGGAUGAACGCUAGCUACAGGCUUAACACAUGCAAGUCGAGGGGCAUCAGUUUGGUUUGCUUGCAAACCAAAGCUGGCGACCGGCGCACGGGUGAGUAACACGUAUCCAACCUGCCUCAUACUCGGGGAUAGCCUUUCGAAAGAAAGAUUAAUAUCCGAUAGCAUAUAUUUCCCGCAUGGGUUUUAUAUUAAAGAAAUUCGGUAUGAGAUGGAAAUGCGUUCCAUUAGUUUG
RNAcentral lists this ribosomal RNA (243 nucleotides) under uncultured bacterium. RNAcentral's name for it is "partial 16S ribosomal RNA". It matches the Rfam family "Bacterial small subunit ribosomal RNA", at positions 15 to 248 of the family's 1533-position model. The record is from RNAcentral.